RNAcentral lists this non-coding RNA (952 nucleotides) under Eremias multiocellata. RNAcentral describes it as "12S ribosomal RNA". It matches the Rfam family "Bacterial small subunit ribosomal RNA". The record is from RNAcentral. Lineage: Eukaryota; Metazoa; Chordata; Lepidosauria; Squamata; Lacertidae.
AAUAGUUUUGGUCCUGGACUUACCGUUGCUUUCUACUAAGAUUAUACAUGCAAGUCUCAGCACACCAGUGAAAAUGCCCAAACCCCCUAAAAAGAACUAUCGGAGCAGGCAUCAGGCACCACCCACAUAAGCCCAUAACGCCUUGUCUUACCACACCCCCACGGGAUUUCAGCAGUAAUAAAUAUUGGGCAAUAAGUGAAAACUUGACCCAACUAUAGUAUUAAGGGCUGGUUAAUUUCGUGCCAGCCACCGCGGUUAUACGAAAGGCCCAAAACAACGGAGAAACGGCGUAAAUUGUGACUAGAUACGCUUAAUAAAAAAAUAUUAAACUUAUAGCCUAGUUGUAAAACACUCAGAUUAUAAAGAAAAUCACAAAAUAUUUUUUACCUUAGCCCUUUGAUCACACGAAAGCUUAGAAACAAACUAGGAUUAGAUACCCUACUAUGCUAAGCCAUUAACAUUGACAGCAUCCUAUACUCUGCUUUCCGCCAGAGAACUACAAGUGAAAAACUUCAAACUCAAAGGACUUGGCGGUGUCCCAUACCAACCUAGAGGAGCCUGUCCUAUAAUCGAUACCCCCCGUUCUACCUAACCUCUACUAGCACCUUUCAGCCUAUAUACCGCCGUCGACAGUCUACCCCAUGAGGGUCCAACAGUAGACAUAAUAGCCCACCCGCUAACACGUCAGGUCAAGGUGUAGCAUAUGUUGAGGAAGAGAUUGGCUACAUUUUUUAUUAUAAAAAAAUACGAAAUGCAACAUGAAACCCUGCAUGAAGGCGAAUUUAGUAGUAAGAUAAAACAAGAGUGUUUAUCUUAACAACGCUCUGGGACGCGCACACACCGCCCGUCACCCUCCUCAACAGACAUAUUCAUUUAUAUAAACCACUUACAGCCUAUUAGAGGAGGCAAGUCGUAACAUGGUAAGCGUACCGGAAGGUGUGCUUGGAAUAAC